Molecule: ribosomal RNA, 311 nt
Filed under: Candidatus Saccharimonadota bacterium
Lineage: Bacteria; Candidatus Saccharimonadota
Description: bacterial SSU rRNA
Rfam family: Bacterial small subunit ribosomal RNA
Source: RNAcentral
UUUUUGGAGAGUUUGAUCCUGGCUCAGGAUGAACGCUGGCGGCGUGCCUAAUACAUGCAAGUCGAGCGGUAAGGUCCCUCCAGAUUGCUUAAGCGGUUAGACGGGUCGCGAUUACGAAGUAAUCGCAUCGUCAACGAAGUGAUGAACUUCAACCGACCACCUACUAUCUAAAGUAGUAGCGGGUAGCUUAAGGAAUGUGGUGGGAUACACGAGCGGCGGACGGCUGAGUAACACGUAGGAACGUACCCCAAACUGAGGGAUAAGCACCAGAAAUGGUGUCUAAUACCGCAUGUGCUCUUCGGAGUAAAGCU